UGAGGAAUAUUGGUCAAUGGACGAGAGUCUGAACCAGCCAAGUAGCGUGCAGGAUGACGGCCCUAUGUGUUGUACACUGCUUUUGUUUGGGAAUAAUCGACAUUACGUGUAAUGUUUUGCAUGUAUCAUUCGAAUAAGGACCGGCUAAUUCCGUGCCAGCAGCCGCGGUAAUACGUAGGUGGCAAGCGUUGUCCGGAAUUAUUGGGCGUAAAGCGCGCGCAGGUGGUUUAGAAAGUCUGAUGUGAAAGCCCACGGCUCAACCGGGGAGGGUCAUUGGAAACUAAUAAACUUGAGUGGAGGAGAGAAAAGUGGAAUUCCUAGUGUAGCGGUGAAAUGCGUAGAGAUUAGGAGGAACACCGGUGGCGAAAGCGGCGUUUGGGCCUGCAACUGACACUGAGGCGCGAAAGAGGGGGGAGCAAGCAGG
RNAcentral lists this ribosomal RNA (424 nucleotides) under Verrucomicrobiota bacterium. RNAcentral describes it as "Verrucomicrobia bacterium partial 16S ribosomal RNA". It matches the Rfam family "Bacterial small subunit ribosomal RNA", at positions 355 to 776 of the family's 1533-position model. Lineage: Bacteria; Pseudomonadati; Verrucomicrobiota. The record is from RNAcentral.